GAAACACGUGGUCUUCAAUGUUCAUACCAUUUUUUCCUUUCUUUAUUCUUCCUUUUUUUUGUAUGACUCCUAAAUCUUUUGUUCCCCAAAAAAUUGCUUCGUUCUAUGAUAACUCAAUUUACCAUUUCAACACUCCCAUUACUCAUCCCUACAAAAUCAAAGCGAAAACCCUAGGAUACGAAUAUAUACUGGAAAAGCACAUACAGAGAGAUUGAGAUAUUAAAAUUUUAAGCUAAGGCGUAAAACUAAGAAGCCGGGUCAUCUCUAAAAGCAGAACCACUGUAUCUUCAUUGAGGUCUCAUCAGCUUCUCUCUCUGGUAUUCAUUUUUCAAAUUGUAAGCUCUUUGUUUAGUUUUACAGGUAUCAGAACACCAUGUCACAACGAACCGACAUCAAUUAUGAAUCUACGAUGAUCAUAUAACACCAGCUUUAUCUGAUUGAACAUGCAAAAUGCAAGUUGUGGACAAAAUCAAGAGCGAGAAAAUCUUCACAAUAAAAAGAAGACUUCAGAAUUAAUCUUGCAAGAUGAAGAGAACUUGAAGCUGCAAUUAUGCUGCGCAACACAGCACGACUAUAGAAAUGCGGCGAACUGAAUUAUUUUGCUAAUGGGAACUUCAGGAAAAAGGGAUAAGAAAUUUUUUCUAUUUCUUCUUUCUAAAGGCAAGGCUAAGCCAUCCGCCCUUCAUUGCAGGGGAAAAGGGGAGACGGUUCCCAAGGGGUGGCUCUAUGUCACCUUCAAAGUUUUAUUGUAAGAUUUUAUUUUAAUAAACUUAUGUAUUACAUGCUCUAUAGCGUUAUGAAAGAACUAGGAUUGUCCCAAAAAAAGAUAUUGAUUCCUAGCCAGAGCAUGCAAGAGAUGUGUCCCAUUAUUUAUUAAAAUUGUUACCAAUGAAGCUUCAAAGAAGCUUGUUCCUACUUCAUUUUAGCAGUAGCUGUUGCUUCCCCGUGGCGGGUAAAUUAGAGGUAUCUCUAUUUUCUAUGCUCAUGAUACUUUGGCUGAUUACUAACCUCUAUUUUUAUAGUUGAAGGUUUUUGCAGGUUCAAUUUUAGUUUCUUAGAGCUUAGGUGUUUGGAGCUGAAUUUGAUAAUGAUAGAUGAUUUCAUAGGGUUGCCAACAACUUCAGCGCCAUCGCAGCUUGAGAUACUUAUCAUGAAUCACAAAUGCAGGAAGAAUGCUGAUGUCUCAAGCUGUUAGAGCUAUGUGUAGAUUCUGAGUAUGUUCUCUUCUAAAAUCUCUAUCUAAUUCCCCCUAUCCGUGGAACUGCAGUUCUUUAGUGAAAAAAGCUCCAUCAACCUUUCAAUACUAAAAUCAGUGACAACCGUGAUUACAAUAACCCAGGUGUCUCUAUUUGAAAAAGUGUCUGACAUCCUGCUUCACCUAUUGAUUGAGUUGAAUGUUUUGGUUGGCGCUUCAUACAACUAAUAUAUGGUGUUUUUGGUCCAUGCUAAGAAUAUUCAUAUGGAAUCUUAUUGGUUAAUUACAGUAAUUUCGAUUUUUUUCUGGAUCAAGCAUCAUGUCUCUAUGGUGUAUAUAUUUUCUUUUUGAUGUAAUAUUAGAGGUAGGAAGUGUCUUAGUCUUUUCUGUAGCUAUAAACUGUUCAAAAGUCGAUUCUCCAUUUCUGCUUUCAAUCUGGAGUUGCUAUCCUUUGGCUUGAUGCUUCUCUUACCUAUGUUGUUCGACUUGAAUGUGCCAUCAAGCUCUUGACGACAAUUCAAAAAGCACUGAUAUAGCAGUUUGGAGUGUCUUGCUGGUGAUGACCCUGAUCCUACUUCAAAUGAGAGACUACGUUAUGAAUCAAGACUAUGUUAUACCUCCAAAUAACACAAACUAUAUAUGUCAGGCAUAUGCCCGUGCACAGCACGGGCACCACCUAUCUAGUUUAAUUUAUAUGUAUGAGUAUUGGGUCGGGUGGGCCAGGUCGAGUUGAGUUA
Molecule: long non-coding RNA, 1932 nt
Organism: Nicotiana attenuata
Lineage: Eukaryota; Viridiplantae; Streptophyta; Magnoliopsida; Solanales; Solanaceae
Exons: 6
Source: RefSeq, a predicted model, not a curated record